AACGAACGCUGGCGGCAGGCCUAACACAUGCAAGUCGAGCGAGGACUUCGGUCCUAGCGGCGGACGGGUGAGUAACGCGUGGGAACGUGCCCUUUGCUUCGGAAUAGCCCUUGGAAACUGGGAGUAAUACCGGAUGAGCCCUUUGGGGGCAAGAUUUAUCGGCGAAGGAUCGGCCCGCGUUGGAUUAGGUAGUUGGUGGGGUAAUGGCCUACCAAGCCGACGAUCCAUAGCUGGUUUGAGAGGAUGAUCAGCCACACUGGAACUGAGACACGGUCCAGACUCCUACGGGAGGCAGCAGUGGGGAAUCUUAGAGAACGGGGGAAACACUGAUCUGGCCAUGACGCGUAAGAGAUGAAGGCCUUAGGGUUGUAAAGCUCUUUCAGCUGGGAAGAUAAUGACGGUACCAGCAGAAGAAGCCCCGGCUAACUCCGUG
This 433-nucleotide ribosomal RNA is filed under the name uncultured bacterium. Its description in RNAcentral is "partial 16S ribosomal RNA". It matches the Rfam family "Bacterial small subunit ribosomal RNA", at positions 29 to 507 of the family's 1533-position model. The record is from RNAcentral.